This 1489-nucleotide ribosomal RNA is filed under the name uncultured bacterium. Its description in RNAcentral is "16S ribosomal RNA". It matches the Rfam family "Bacterial small subunit ribosomal RNA". The record is from RNAcentral.
AGAGUUUGAUCCUGGCUCAGGACGAACGCUGGCGGCGUGCUUAACACAUGCAAGUCGAACGGAAAGGCCCUGCUUUUGUGGGGUGCUCGAGUGGCGAACGGGUGAGUAACACGUGAGUAACCUGCCCUUGACUUUGGGAUAACUUCAGGAAACUGGGGCUAAUACCGGAUAGGAGCUCCUGCUGCAUGGUGGGGGUUGGAAAGUUUCGGCGGUUGGGGAUGGACUCGCGGCUUAUCAGCUUGUUGGUGGGGUAGUGGCUUACCAAGGCUUUGACGGGUAGCCGGCCUGAGAGGGUGACCGGCCACAUUGGGACUGAGAUACGGCCCAGACUCCUACGGGAGGCAGCAGUGGGGAAUAUUGCACAAUGGGCGGAAGCCUGAUGCAGCAACGCCGCGUGCGGGAUGACGGCCUUCGGGUUGUAAACCGCUUUCGCCUGUGACGAAGCGUGAGUGACGGUAAUGGGUAAAGAAGCACCGGCUAACUACGUGCCAGCAGCCGCGGUGAUACGUAGGGUGCGAGCGUUGUCCGGAUUUAUUGGGCGUAAAGGGCUCGUAGGUGGUUGAUCGCGUCGGAAGUGUAAUCUUGGGGCUUAACCCUGAGCGUGCUUUCGAUACGGGUUGACUUGAGGAAGGUAGGGGAGAAUGGAAUUCCUGGUGGAGCGGUGGAAUGCGCAGAUAUCAGGAGGAACACCAGUGGCGAAGGCGGUUCUCUGGGCCUUUCCUGACGCUGAGGAGCGAAAGCGUGGGGAGCGAACAGGCUUAGAUACCCUGGUAGUCCACGCUGUAAACGGUGGGUACUAGGUGUGGGGUCCAUUCCACGGGUUCCGUGCCGUAGCUAACGCUUUAAGUACCCCGCCUGGGGAGUACGGCCGCAAGGCUAAAACUCAAAGGAAUUGACGGGGCCCCGCACAAGCGGCGGAGCAUGCGGAUUAAUUCGAUGCAACGCGUAGAACCUUACCUGGGUUUGACAUGGAUCGGGAGUGCUCAGAGAUGGGUGUGCCUCUUUUGGGGUCGGUUCACAGGUGGUGCAUGGCUGUCGUCAGCUCGUGUCGUGAGAUGUUGGGUUAAGUCCCGCAACGAGCGCAACCCUUGUUCACUGUUGCCAGCACGUUAUGGUGGGGACUCAGUGGAGACCGCCGGGGUCAACUCGGAGGAAGGUGGGGAUGACGUCAAGUCAUCAUGCCCCUUAUGUCCAGGGCUUCACGCAUGCUACAAUGGCUGGUACAGAGAGUGGCGAGCCUGUGAGGGUGAGCGAAUCUCGGAAAGCCGGUCUCAGUUCGGAUUGGGGUCUGCAACUCGACCUCAUGAAGUCGGAGUCGCUAGUAAUCGCAGAUCAGCAACGCUGCGGUGAAUACGUUCCCGGGGCUUGUACACACCGCCCGUCAAGUCAUGAAAGUUGGUAACACCCGAAGCCGGUGGCCUAACCGUUGUGGGGGAGCCGUCGAAGGUGGGACUGGUGAUUAGGACUAAGUCGUAACAAGGUAACCGUA